UUUUCAGAUUUAUUUUAUAAAUUUUCUGAAAUUAGUCUCCUAGUUAAACCCUAAUGCCCUAAAUUAUAUAUACCCUUGUACCCUCAAAAAUUUUCUACACGACUCUCAAAGAAAAGGAAAAUUCAUCUCCAUUAAAACUCUUCUGCCGCCAUCUCCAGUUCAUCGAUUCUGAGAAAGGCUACUUAGGGAACACGCAAGGAGACUAUUAAUUCGAAGUACGCACAUGCUCAAGGUUGGUAACGGUACUUGGCUACGAGUGAGGAGACGUUUAGAAUAACCAUUUAGUCAAGAGAAAAGUUUUGUUUCAGUUUAAGUUGGAUUUUGUUAUUUAUGUUAUGGGGAUUUGUUGUAAUAUUUUAUUGGCCACCUUUUAGACCACUUAGUUAAUUUUGACUUUAAUGAUUUUAAAUUGUUAUGUUGGUUUGCAUUUAUUUUCCAUGGAGAAUAAAUGUAGCAGUGACAUUCCCAAGUUUUGGACGAUGGUUUUACGAA
Spinacia oleracea (spinach) is the source of this 492-nucleotide long non-coding RNA. RefSeq lists it as uncharacterized. NCBI's taxonomy places the organism in Eukaryota, Viridiplantae, Streptophyta, Magnoliopsida, Caryophyllales, Amaranthaceae. The transcript is spliced from 3 exons. The record is from RefSeq and is a predicted model, not a curated record.